GAUCAGUGGCGAACGGGUGAGUAACACGUGAGCAACCUGCCCCUGACUCUGGGAUAACGACCGGAAACGGUCGCUAAUACCGGAUACGAGACGUACAGGCAUCUGUAACGUCUGGAAAGUUUUUCGGUCAGGGAUGGGCUCGCGGCCUAUCAGCUUGUUGGUGGGGUAAAGGCCUACCAAGGCGACGACGGGUAGCCGGCCUGAGAGGGCGACCGGCCACACUGGGACUGAGACACGGCCCAGACUCCUACGGGAGGCAGCAGUGGGGAAUAUUGCACAAUGGGCGAAAGCCUGAUGCAGCGACGCCGCGUGAGGGAUGACGGCCUUCGGGUUGUAAACCUCUUUCAGCAGGGAAGAAGCGCAAGUGACGGUACCUGCAGAAGAAGCGCCGGCUAACUACGUGCCAGCAGCCGCGGUAAUACGUAGGGCGCAAGCGUUGUCCGGAAUUAUUGGGCGUAAAGAGCUCGUAGGCGGUUUGUCGCGUCUGCUGUGAAAACCUCAGGCUCAACCUGGGGCUUGCAGUGGGUACGGGCAGACUAGAGUGCGGUAGGGGUGACUGGAAUUCCUGGUGUAGCGGUGGAAUGCGCAGAUAUCAGGAGGAACACCGAUGGCGAAGGCAGGUCACUGGGCCGCAACUGACG
Molecule: ribosomal RNA, 641 nt
Filed under: Cellulomonas sp. I15A-00288
Lineage: Bacteria; Bacillati; Actinomycetota; Actinomycetes; Micrococcales; Cellulomonadaceae
Description: bacterial SSU rRNA
Rfam family: Bacterial small subunit ribosomal RNA
Source: RNAcentral